CUGGCGGCAGGCCUAACACAUGCAAGUCGAGCGGCAGCGACUUAACUGAACCUUCGGGGAACGUUAAGGGCGGCGAGCGGCGGACGGGUGAGUAAUGCCUGGGAAUAUGCCCUGAUGUGGGGGAUAACUAUUGGAAACGAUAGCUAAUACCGCAUAAUCUCUUCGGAGCAAAGAGGGGGACCUUCGGGCCUCUCGCGUCAGGAUUAGCCCAGGUGGGAUUAGCUUGUUGGUGAGGUAAUGGCUCACCAAGGCAACGAUCCCUAGCUGGUCUGAGAGGAUGAUCAGCCACACUGGAACUGAGACACGGUCCAGACUCCUACGGGAGGCAGCAGUGGGGAAUAUUGCACAAUGGGGGAAACCCUGAUGCAGCCAUGCCGCGUGUGUGAAGAAGGCCUUCGGGUUGUAAAGCACUUUCAGUAGGGAGGAAGGUAGUGUAGUUAACACCUGCACUAUUUGACGUUACCUACAGAAGAAGCACCGGCUAACUCCGUGCCAGCAGCCGCGGUAAUACGGAGGGUGCGAGCGUUAAUCGGAAUUACUGGGCGUAAAGCGCAUGCAGGCGGCCUGUUAAGUCAGAUGUGAAAGCCCGGGGCUUAACCUCGGAAUUGCAUUUGAAACUGGCAGGCUAGAGUCUUGU
This 637-nucleotide ribosomal RNA is filed under the name Photobacterium damselae subsp. piscicida. RNAcentral describes it as "bacterial SSU rRNA". It matches the Rfam family "Bacterial small subunit ribosomal RNA", at positions 36 to 652 of the family's 1533-position model. The record is from RNAcentral. Lineage: Bacteria; Pseudomonadati; Pseudomonadota; Gammaproteobacteria; Vibrionales; Vibrionaceae.